Molecule: ribosomal RNA, 400 nt
Filed under: uncultured bacterium
Lineage: Bacteria
Description: bacterial SSU rRNA
Rfam family: Bacterial small subunit ribosomal RNA
Source: RNAcentral
UGGGGAAUAUUGCACAAUGGGGGAAACCCUGAUGCAGCAACGCCGCGUGAAGGAAGAAGGUUUUCGGAUCGUAAACUUCUAUCAACAGGGACGAAGACAAUGACGGUACCUGAAUAAGAAGCCCCGGCUAACUACGUGCCAGCAGCCGCGGUAAUACGUAGGGGGCAAGCGUUAUCCGGAAUUACUGGGUGUAAAGGGAGCGUAGGCGGCAUGUCAAGCCAGAUGUGAAAGCCCGGGGCUUAACCCCGCGGAUUGCAUUUGGAACUGGCAAGCUAGAGUACAGGAGAGGAAAGCGGAAUUCCUAGUGUAGCGGUGAAAUGCGUAGAUAUUAGGAAGAACACCAGUGGCGAAGGCGGCUUUCUGGACUGAAACUGACGCUGAGGCUCGAAAGCGUGGGGAG